Long non-coding RNA from Lolium perenne, 537 nucleotides. RefSeq lists it as uncharacterized. NCBI's taxonomy places the organism in Eukaryota, Viridiplantae, Streptophyta, Magnoliopsida, Poales, Poaceae. The record is from RefSeq and is a predicted model, not a curated record.
UGCAACACUGCAACAAGUUUCAGAGAGUUGUAUUUCCUAUUGCAAGUUUCCGUAUAUUGAUGAUAGAAUUUUUUUCAACAAUGCAUUAGUUUGCUUACAAGCUGAUCUUCCUUUUAUUGGUGACCUCAAAAUCUAGAUUUUGAGUACCGGAAAGAAUAAGAUUCAUCAACAAUUGCUCUGUUUGGAUUCAAGAUCAUAAAAUGAGUUAAAUCAAUACCCUUGGUUUAGCAGUGUGCAUGACUGAUUAGCAUAAAGACGCUAAAGCCAAUAGAGAUGGUUUCUAAGUUUACAUACUACCUACGGCAGCCUGAAAUCUCGAGCCAUGUACUCUCUUAGGCUGUAUGACAGACGCAUAUGGCCAGAAUUCUCUUAUCACCUAAUUUUACAUGUUGUCUACUCUGUGCUAUACUUCUUACCCUGUGUUUGACAUAAGCAGAUGUAUAAGAAGUUAGCUUUUGGGGUGUCUGUUCUUAUGUUGUAUCUUUGAUUCAAUCAAUGCGUGUUGUACAGCUCGCCUAGGCUAAAUUGUCUUCUUUA